Molecule: transfer RNA, 97 nt
Filed under: Schaalia georgiae F0490
Lineage: Bacteria; Bacillati; Actinomycetota; Actinomycetes; Actinomycetales; Actinomycetaceae
Description: Actinomyces georgiae F0490 tRNA-Lys
Source: RNAcentral
GAGGCGGCCCACGGCGGCUUCGGGUGGCCCCAGGCCCUUGCCCUGGCCCUCGGAACCGCCAGCGGCUGGGCGUUCGUGCGCCGCCAGCGCCGCCUCG